This 486-nucleotide ribosomal RNA is filed under the name uncultured bacterium. RNAcentral's name for it is "partial 16S ribosomal RNA". It matches the Rfam family "Bacterial small subunit ribosomal RNA", at positions 30 to 507 of the family's 1533-position model. The record is from RNAcentral.
AUUGAACGCUGGCGGCAUGCCUUACACAUGCAAGUCGAACGGCAGCACGGGUGCUUGCACCUGGUGGCGAGUGGCGAACGGGUGAGUAAUACAUCGGAACAUGUCCUGUAGUGGGGGAUAGCCCGGCGAAAGCCGGAUUAAUACCGCAUACGAUCUACUGAUGAAAGCGGGGGCCCUUCGGGCCUCGCGCUAUAGGGUUGGCCGAUGGCUGAUUAGCUAGUUGGUGGGGUAAAGGCCUACCAAGGCGACGAUCAGUAGCUGGUCUGAGAGGACGACCAGCCACACUGGAACUGAGACACGGCCCAGACUCCUACGGGAGGCAGCAGUGGGGAAUUUUGGACAAUGGGCGAAAGCCUGAUCCAGCAAUGCCGCGUGUGUGAAGAAGGCCUUCGGGUUGUAAAGCACUUUUGUCCGGAAAGAAAACCUGGGCCCUAAUACGGUCGGGGGAUGACGGUACCGGAAGAAUAAGCACCGGCUAACUACGUG